RNAcentral lists this long non-coding RNA (837 nucleotides) under Ananas comosus (pineapple). RNAcentral describes it as "long non-coding RNA (ACOM_LNC035130)". Lineage: Eukaryota; Viridiplantae; Streptophyta; Magnoliopsida; Poales; Bromeliaceae. The record is from RNAcentral.
GAAUGCACAACAGACCAACUAGGUCAACAGAUACGGAUGCGGAUGGAACCACCCUACUCCUACUCAGGAUAUUAAGCAUGUAAACAACGAGUAGGGUAUAAUCACACAACGUAGGUGUAAUGUAAUCAAUAGAGGUGCAAAGCUCAACAUAUAACAUAUGCAUGGAUAAUAACAAAGGAGCAAGGGUAAGAAACCAUCACCGAGCGUGCACCACUGUACCGACGUCGGAUCGAAGUACCCACCUGUACAACUGUCGCGCCUGUCUCCUGACUGCAAAAGAACGUCAACAGGACCUAAGGAGGGUCCACUGGGUUAGUGUCUAACCCAUAGCUAAAAAAACCCUAAAAGCAUAAACCCACAAAUAAACCCACGAGAAUCGGUUUCCCAAACCGAUCGUCGUAAUACGCCGGAAGUCCCGAAAACCACACCGGGACGCCGUCGGGACCCACUAAGUGUCCCGAAACUCACCGACUCUUGUCACGAGUCACCUACUGCCCUAAAACACUCCAAUUUGGAUGUUUUGGCAGCAAACACAAGAUAACACCACUACACAAUUAUCGCCGGAUAAUUGUACGAACACGGGUUCCCGGAAGUGUCAAAUUCGACACCGGAACCCACCGUCGCUCACCCGUCAUCACCGAACCCACAAAGUGAUGAUGGUGACCAGCCAACAAGGCUUAGCGACCACUCACAGAGCAACCAAACGACGUCGGAAGAAAUCCGAACAGAAACCGCGUUCUUUCGGCGAAUUUCGCCGAAAAACGCAUCGAAAUCGACUCUUCGAUUUCUGCAAAAGCUAACGGAUCAUGGACAAUCAGUCCAGAGGACACCACACAU